GAGAGCCGUAUACACUGAAAGGUGUACGUACGGUUCGGUGGGGGGAAUUGUGAAACCUAUUAUGGAAACAUAUUAAGGCGUAUGAUUCCUACCCUAC
RNAcentral lists this non-coding RNA (97 nucleotides) under Salimicrobium flavidum. The record is from RNAcentral. Lineage: Bacteria; Bacillati; Bacillota; Bacilli; Caryophanales; Bacillaceae.